RNAcentral lists this long non-coding RNA (1465 nucleotides) under Papio anubis (olive baboon). RNAcentral describes it as "lncRNA (ENSPANG00000038990.1)". The record is from RNAcentral. Lineage: Eukaryota; Metazoa; Chordata; Mammalia; Primates; Cercopithecidae.
AUGCUCAGAAGACAAGAAGGAAAAGGCAUAGCCAUUCAGAAAAGGAGGUGGUUUAAGCAAAAGGAUGGUAGGAAUGGGCUAGGAUAUUUCCAGACAGGAGGUGAUAGACCUGGGAUGAUUCAUUUCAUUGGUUCCAUCCGUCUUCAGGCCCCACCCGAAUACGUUUGGAAGACACAUUCAAUGUGUGUGUACAUAUAUUUAUGUGUGUGUGUAUGUUCUUGUUGUUAAAACUCCAUUUUGUUCUUGUUCAAACUUGGUAAAUUUUUGUAAUCUCUUAUCCUUUUGUCAUCCUUUUACAUUCCUCUCUUAUUUCUUAAACAUAUUAAACACACACAUUUUAGACAUUCUAAAUGUGAUAAAUAAAAUAUACACAAAUUCUGUAAGUCUGACACUAAGCACAGUUUGUUGUUCCUGGAAAUUCUCUCAUGAUGUUUUAUUUGUUCUUUUAUUUCUCAUCUGCUUAGGAUUUUGUGGGUAUGAGUAUGAAUUAAUGAUCCUUGGAACUUCAUGUGUGGGGAUCUUUUAAGGACUGGAAUCAAAAUAACUUUCCUCUAGUGAGGACUUGCAACUGCCUUUGCAGGUCCUCGAUGGUACUUCUAACCUGGCAUCACUGAAAACAUGUUUGGGGGGAAUUGAGCCCACAAGUGGUAUAUAUUCCUGCCCCAAAUUCAAGUACAGGCCUUUGGGUAGAAAUUCUUCUGGGAGAUACUGUUGUUUGUGUGUGCUUUUUUCUCUGAUCCACCCAGUUAGGUUGAAGGUAAGUUAGCAUCCCUACCUCUUCCUUCUUUGGGGCUUCUUUUUUUUUUUUUUUUUUUUUUGGCUUAGCCCCAAGAUAUAUCCCUCUGUGUGACUUGGCUUUUUGUGGUGUUGGGGGGUGGGGUUUGUCACCGAUAUGACAUCCCCUAAUUCUGGCCCCAGACCUUGUCUCCAUUGCCCAUCCAUGUGGCCUGUAACCUUCCAUCUGCAUCCCAGCCAAGACUGUCUACACCCUACCCUGUUCAAAUCUAGGGCAAAUGGCUUCAGUGCUUUCUCCUGUGGAGUUAAGCUUUCUUGUUCUUUCUCACUUUGAAGAGAUUCCCUUACUUAUUGCUAGCUCAACUGUGCAUUAAAAAUAUUUUAGUACAUGCCUAUAAUCCCAGCACUUUGGGAGGCCAAGGGGGGGCAGAUCACAAGGUCUGGAGUUUGAGACCAGCCUGGCCAAUAUGGUGAAACCCCAUUUCUACUAAAAAAUACAAAAAUUAGCUAAGCAUGGUGGCAGGCACCUGUCGUCCCAGCUACUGGGAAGACCAAGGCAGGGGAAUCGCUUGAACCCAGGAGGCGGAGGUUGCAGUGAGCUGAGAUCGCAGCACUGCACUCCAGCCUGGGCAACAGAGUGAGACUUCAUCUCAAAAAAUAAAAGUUAAAAAUAUAUAUAUUUUUUAGUCAGCAUCUAAAUUGUGUUAUUAGUCUACAAUUCUGCAGAAAC